UAGAAAUACAGUAAUAAGGUACAGCAUAAAUACAGUAAUGAGGUACAGCAGAAAUACAGUAAUGAAGUACAGUAGAAAUACAGUAAUGAGGUACAGUAUGAAUACAGUUGUGACGUACAGUACAUUAAAACAUUACUCACUGUGUUAAUCAUGUGGUGUUUAACACUAAGUGUUUAACACUAGAGGGAGAACACACACCAGGGAGGGAGGAUAGAGGGAGAACACACACCAGGGAGGGGAGGUAGAGAGAGAACACACACCAGGGAGGGAGGGUAGAGGGAGAACACAGACCAGGGAGGGGAGGUAGAGAGAGAACACACACCAGGGAGGGAGGGUAGAGGGAGAACACAGACCAGGGAGGGAGGGUAGAGGGAGAACACAGACCAGGGAGGGAAGGUAGAGAGAGAACACACACCAGGGAGGGAGGGUAGAGGGAGAACACAGACCAGGGAGGGAGGGUAGAGAGAGAACACAGACCAGGGAGGGAGGGUAGAGAGAGAACACAGACCAGGGAGGGAGGGUAGAGAGAGAACACAGACCAGGGAGGGAAGGUAGAGAGAGAACACAGACCAGGGAGGGAAGGUAGAGAGAGAACACAGACCAGGGAGGGAGGGUAGAGGGAGAACACAGACCAGGGAGGGAGGGUAGAGAGAGAACACAGACCAGGGAGGGAGGGUAGAGAGAGAACACACACCAGGGAGGGAGGGUAGAGGGAGAACACAGACCAGGGAGGGAGGGUAGAGAGAGAACACAGACCAGGGAGGGAGGGUAGAGAGAGAACACACACCAGGGAGGGAAGGUAGAGAGAGAACACAGACCAGGGAGGGAGGGUAGAGAGAGGCUAGAGGGAGAACACAGACCAGGGAGGGACGGUAGAGAGAGGCUAGAGGGAGAACACAGACCAGGGAGGGAGGGUAGAGAGAGAACACAGACCAGGGAGGGAGGGUAGAGAGAGAACACAGACCAGGGAGGGAGGGUAGAGAGAGAACACAGACCAGGGAGGGAGGGUAGAGGGAGAACACAGACCAGGGAGGGAGGGUAGAGGGAGAACACAGACCAGGGAGGGAGGGUAGAGAGAGAACACAGACCAGGGAGGGAGGGUAGAGAGAGGCUAGAGGGAGAACACACACCAGGGAGGGAGGGUAGAGAGAGAACACAGACCAGGGAGGGAAGGUAGAGAGAGGCUAGAGGGAGAACACAGACCAGGGAGGGAGGGUAGAGAGAGAACACAGACCAGGGAGGGAGGGUAGAGGGAGAACACAGACCAGGGAGGGAGGGUAGAGAGAGAACACAGACCAGGGAGGGAAGGUAGAGAGAGAACACAGACCAGGGAGGGAAGGUAGAGAGAGAACACAGACCAGGGAGGGAGGGUAGAGGGAGAACACAGACCAGGGAGGGACGCUAGAGGGAGAACACAGACCAGGGAGGGAAGGUAGAGAGAGGGUAGAGGGAGAACACAGACCAGGGAGGGAGGGUAGAGAGAGAACACAGACCAGGGAGGGAGGGUAGAGAGAGGCUAGAGGGAGAACACAGACCAGGGAGGGAGGGUAGAGAGAGAACACACACCAGGGAGGGAGGGUAGAGAGAGAACACAGACCAGGGAGGGAGGGUAGAGAGAGGCUAGAGGGAGAACACAGACCAGGGAGGGAGGGUAGAGAGAGAACACAGACCAGGGAGGGAGGGUAGAGAGAGAACACAGACCAGGGAGGGAGGGUAGAGAGAGAACACAGACCAGGGAGGGAGGGUAGAGAGAGGCUAGAGGGAGAACACAGACCAGGGAGGGAGGGUAGAGAGAGAACACAGACCAGUGAGGGAGGGUAGAUACAUCAAUACUGUAGAUUUACUGUACCAGAAACCUAGAAUGGCUUUACCCUUUGUAACUUAUUAUCUCUGAGUUAAUGAAACAUGAUUUCAGAUGUUUUCUGUCUGUUUGUUUUUGUUGAGUUAUAAAUGUCAUCCUACAGUAUGUUAUUAUCCCUGAGCCUCUGAAUAAUAAACAUGUUAAAUAACUGAUCAUAUUA
Long non-coding RNA from Oncorhynchus keta (chum salmon), 2021 nucleotides. RefSeq lists it as uncharacterized. The record is from RefSeq and is a predicted model, not a curated record. The transcript has 11 exons. Lineage: Eukaryota; Metazoa; Chordata; Actinopteri; Salmoniformes; Salmonidae.